This 127-nucleotide small RNA is filed under the name Marmota monax (woodchuck). The record is from RNAcentral. Lineage: Eukaryota; Metazoa; Chordata; Mammalia; Rodentia; Sciuridae.
GCUGGGUGUGGUAGCACACACCUGUAAUCCCAGCAGCUCGGGAGGCUGAGGCAGGAGGAUCACCAGUUCAAAGCCAGCCUCAGCAAUUUAGCAAGGCCCUAAGCAACUUAGUGAGACCCUGUCUCUA